Pelobates cultripes (western spadefoot toad) is the source of this 213-nucleotide non-coding RNA. The record is from the annotation of a GenBank genome assembly. Lineage: Eukaryota; Metazoa; Chordata; Amphibia; Anura; Pelobatidae.
CCGUCCUUCUUUGAUGACCAGCAAGCCUGCUUUCUUUUGAGACGAAGGUGGGCAGGGAAAGGUGGCAGGUAUGCUUACCUUUUGGGAAACAUAAUUCCUUCCAGAACUUGGGUAAUUUCCAUAAAAGGAUUCUAUAGACACCAAAGCAACUUUAGCUUAAAGCAGUUUUGGUGAAAAGAUCAUGUCCCUGCAGUCUCACUGCUCAAUUAUCUG